AGAGUUUGAUCAUGGCUCAGGAUGAACGCUAGCUACAGGCUUAACACAUGCAAGUCGAGGGGCAGCAUGUUGGUUGCUUGCAACCAACGAUGGCGACCGGCGCACGGGUGAGUAACGCGUAUCCAACCUACCCUUGUCCAUCGGAUAACCCGUCGAAAGGCGGCCUAACACGAUAUGCGGUUCACGGCAGGCAUCUAAGGUGAACGAAAUGUGAAGGAGAAGGAUGGGGAUGCGUCUGAUUAGCUUGUUGGCGGGGUAACGGCCACCAAGGCUACGAUCAGUAGGGGUUCUGAGAGGAAGGUCCCCCACAUUGGAACUGAGACACGGUCCAAACUCCUACGGAGACA
RNAcentral lists this ribosomal RNA (347 nucleotides) under uncultured bacterium. RNAcentral describes it as "bacterial SSU rRNA". It matches the Rfam family "Bacterial small subunit ribosomal RNA", at positions 8 to 350 of the family's 1533-position model. The record is from RNAcentral.